Molecule: long non-coding RNA, 881 nt
Filed under: Phoenix dactylifera (date palm)
Lineage: Eukaryota; Viridiplantae; Streptophyta; Magnoliopsida; Arecales; Arecaceae
Description: long non-coding RNA (PDAC_LNC017359)
Source: RNAcentral
CUGAUACAAAAUAUACAUGCAAAUACAUCAAAACAUUGGGAGCAUGAAAAGCAAGGAGCCCCAACAUGAAUAUUCCAUGGUGAUUGAACUAUCAUGAAAUCAAAAGGUGUAUCAUCUGCUUGAACAUGCUGAUCAUCUUGCCACUAAACUAGGUCCAUUCAAUACCAAUGUACUUCCAAAUUCCUUCAUCCUUCAGAACAUGAAGAGCUUCCACUUUGAGCAGAAGCCCCACCAGGCUUCAUAAAGGAAAUGAAGGUUACAAGCACCCAAGAAGGAAUCUCAGAUGACAAGUAGAAGGAGAGGUUACAAGAUGCUAGAGAGUUGUUCCAUGAGGGAUGAAUGAGCCAAGGUUGUCUUAGGGGUCUAAUACUUUUCAGACACCAAUCCUGAGGACAGUCUGCAAGUUUUUUGCUUUCUUGAAUCUUGAGGAAGAUUCCUGAGUUCCUUGCUCUGCAAAUGGCCCAAGAGAUUGCAACAAGCAGGUUGUCCCAAGCUUCUUGGAGAGGUCUAAUUGAGAUUUUCAAUCCCCAUACAGACCAGAAUUUUCUGAGAGUCAGCCUGUAAGGUGGGGGAAAGUUGCAGAGUACUCCAAUUGCAGUCCAGAAUAUUCUGAGCUUAGACACAGUUCCCUAAGAUGUUGUCAAUUGUUUUAGAAGUGCUUGGGCAUAAGAGGCAAGACAAUGUCUGAAUCCAUCCCUACUUAUUUAGAACAGCUCCGUGUUUAACCUGUCUUUUAAUGCAAGCGAGAAGAAGAUUGUGAUCUUAUCCAGAAAAUAGGUUAUCCAGAGGGCGAUAGCCAGUGGACAACUGACUCCUCUAUUAAGGAAGCAGUAGAAAGAACUAACUAAGAAGACACCAUUUGCAUUCCAUCGCCAUUCCCC